AAAAACCCUACCCAGAUUCUCUCUCCCGAUUUCUUCCCCCUUCCUCCCAAUUUCUUUUCCCCAGAUUUCUUCCCCCACCCAGAUUUAAUUAACCACAAUUAUUCUAAAAAUUCCUGUCUGUAAUUAACAACCAAUCCCAGAUUUGUCUGUGAUUGUAUUUGGAAAUAGGAAACCAGCAAAACUGGUAUAAUUUUCCUCAUCGUUGUCACCAUCGUCUUCAUAGCCGUUGUCUUCGUCAUCUCAGAAACCAUUUGUGUGGUCGUGGGGGCUGCAAAGAGAGAUAGAUAAGGCAUGAGGGGAGACUGACUGUGGUGGGGCUCGAAUUUGGUGUGGGUUGUAAAGCUAGUAUAUGAAGAUUGGGACUGUAGCUGUAGAGAGAGAGAGAGAGAGAGAGAGAUAGAGAGAAAGCGUUUGGAUCUGGGAGAUGAGUGGUCAAGGGAUAUGAGUGGUGAUCUACAGUAUGAAAUGGGGAGGUGGUGGCGGAAGGGGUGGGGAUGUGCGUCGGAGUUUUUGGAGGAAGCGGAAGGGGGAGAAAAGGGGGCUGGACUGAAUUUUUCUUUAUUUAUUAUUUAUUAUACUGAUCUUUUGUAAAACAACCCAGCAACACCCUCUCUCUGAUUGAUCUUGUGUACCCAAAGAAUGAAGAUAGAUCGGCUCCUUUUUUUUUUAUUUCCAUUUUUUCUUGUCAUUGUAUUGAACUGAAGGAGAUCUGCGAGAGUUGAGAAAAUGAAUUUGUUGUGCUUUGAGGAAUUUGAUUUGUCCAGCAAGAGAGAUGGAUCGGUUGGGGUGGCUGGAUUGGCAUAUGAGGAGGAUGGGGGUUAGCAUGGUGGGUGAGCUAGGAUGUAGGGGGCUGCUCGGUUUUGGGGUGGGGGAGGGGUGGCUAUUGAGUUCUGAUCCGCAAGCUACCUUUCCAACGCCUGGUUCGUGAAAUCGCUCAAGACUUCGAGACUGACCUCAUGUUCCAGAGUCAUGCUGUGCUUGCG
This 983-nucleotide long non-coding RNA is filed under the name Prunus dulcis (almond). RNAcentral's name for it is "sRNA ncRNA". The record is from RNAcentral. Lineage: Eukaryota; Viridiplantae; Streptophyta; Magnoliopsida; Rosales; Rosaceae.